AGGUGAACCUGCGGAAGGAUCAUUACCGAGUGCGGGAACCCAGUCGGGUCCCAAUCUCCCACCCGUGUCUACCACACCUAGUGUUGCUUUGGCGGGCCCACUCCUCCGGUGUUCCGCCGGGGGGGUCGUCCCGGGGCGCGGUGUGCCCCCGGGGCCCGUGCCCGCCAGAGGCACUCACUGUGAACGCUUUUGUGAAUGCGAGGAUUGUCUGAGUGACGAAAUGCAAUCGUUCAAAACUUUCAACAAUGGAUCUCUUGGUUCCGGCAUCGAUGAAGAACGCAGCGAAAUGCGAUAAGUAAUGUGAAUUGCAGAAUUCCGUGAAUCAUCGAAUCUUUGAACGCACAUUGCGCCCUCUGGUAUUCCGGGGGGCAUGCCUGUCCGAGCGUCAUUGCGAACCCUCAAGCACGGCUUGUGUGUUGGGCCGCCGUCCCCUCGUUUGGAGGGGACGGGCCUGAAAGGCAGCGGCGGCGUCGCGUCCGGUCCUCGAGCGUAUGGGGCUCUGUCACGCGCUCAAGGAGGGGUCCGGCCGGGGCCAUAGCCUCUGAAGGUCAAUUCUUCCAAGGUUGACCUCGGAUCAGGUAGGAGUACCCGCUGAACUUAAGCAUAUCAAUAAGCGGGAGGA
Molecule: ribosomal RNA, 622 nt
Filed under: Thermomyces lanuginosus
Lineage: Eukaryota; Fungi; Ascomycota; Eurotiomycetes; Eurotiales; Trichocomaceae
Description: eukaryotic LSU rRNA
Rfam family: 5.8S ribosomal RNA (bases 235-388)
Source: RNAcentral